UUAUUACUCCCUCUGAUCCUAAAUUCUUGACUCAAAUUUGUCAAAAUAUGAAUGUAUCUAUUCUUAAAAUGCGUCUAGAUACAUGUAAUAUUUCGAUAACAAUUUAGGAUCAGAGGGAGUAGAUC
Molecule: non-coding RNA, 125 nt
Organism: Brachypodium distachyon (stiff brome)
Lineage: Eukaryota; Viridiplantae; Streptophyta; Magnoliopsida; Poales; Poaceae
Source: Rfam